GAGUCCUUUACCGGCGAUCCGCAAGUACGUAUAGGUAACCAGCCUUAGAGCAGACUAACCAGGGUGGCCCCAAUGGCGAAAAAUGAGACGAGCCCCAUCAAACUUUUGAAAAGCACUCAAUUUCUGAACAGCCAAUCUUAUCUGAUCUCGAGGGUUGAUUGAUAUCAAGGAUGUAAGCGCGAGGGUGGUCUCGCGCUUAAGGCCAGGAUGAGAUUGAGCCAGUCUCAUCUAUCGAACAACCCCAUAAUCUUCAUGAGUCCUUCCUGCUGAUGGGGAGUCACUGAACAUUUAGUGCCUUGAAGGUAGGUACACAUUUAAUCAUAAUCUAAUAUUUAAAAGGUAAUUUCACGGGCUGUUUACUUCCUACGGUUUCCACUCUGUACCCUACGCAGAGCUGAAUGGUCGGAUGGUUACCUCAGUGUGAGGGUAAAAAAAAAAAAAGGUAAAUAAAAAAUGCAACCUGGUUAAUGCAGCGACUCCUAACCAUGACGUUCACUUCCGGUUUUGCGAUUUUAGGGAAUCGUCGGUACCAGCCAGAACCAGGUUCUAGGUUAUGUUUGUCAGCCAUAAGAUUUGUAGUAAUCGCAUGGCUGAUUCCGUCCAGCCACGUUCGCCGUGAACUUAGCCACAUACGCCCGUAACCCGUAUGCGCACGUACUGGAUGAGUGGCUGAGAAGUGAAAGUGAAAGAAGGAAAGAAGAGAGGAAGGUGCACGAGCUAGCACGUGGCGAUCUAAUGAAAAAGAUUUUAAACGUCCCGUAUGGAUUUCUGAAGACACAUUCAAUGGAAUUUCAAUAUAUUGCUAUGAAAGAAUAUUGGUGACGCUGUCCGUAAGACUCGUUAUGACCUAAGACUUUCCAAGUCCGUUAACCUUACUUGUCUAACGGAGAACCACGGAACUGCGGACACGCGAACGUCGCCACUGUCGCGACGCUGCAACAACUAAUCUUUAGGAUCUCAACGACGCUCUCUAUAAACUAUACUAAGGACGUAUAUAUAUCCAAGAUUUCGGCACAGGGUCGGGUCGGAUCCGCCAUUAUAGAAAUCCAGAAGGCUGCACGUGAGAUACCAGUCAAGGAUCCCUGAGGCAGACGUGUAUUAGGAAAACGUACGAGCUACUGAGAAUACAUGUGAUAUACGUACGGGACCUUCUCAAAUAUUGGCGGAGGACCCUAAGGCCCCCUUUGAUCCAGAAUCCCUGGAAUUUCUAUAGCGAAUAAUCGGAGACAGCUGGGGCCGCUGCGAAAUCAAGUAGCGUAAUAAUUCGACGGGCUCGAAACCUUUGCCGGGUACUGUUGUUGCUGGCAGCAACAACUGAGCAAGAUCGAAGUGGCGACAACCGCGCUGAGGAAGAAAAAGGAAAAGAGAAAAUGAGAGGAUCAAGAAUUGAUUUAAGUUAUACUUGGAUAUAUAUACGUAUAAACUGAAGAAGCCUAACGGGGCCUCGAAGUGUGAAGCGUGAAAAAGUCCCAGAAACCGUGAUGGAGUUUCAGAUUACUUUUUUUCUUCUUUUCCCCUAAUCGCCGGAUAUCUCGGAUAUGUCGCCAUGUCGGUGCGUGCCCAUAAGUUAGCCAGGGUUCUGGCAUUAACGUCGCGACGGAGCGUGGUUUUAACACCCCUGCUUGAACAAAUAAACGAUAUGGCGUCCAAGAUAGCUAUGCAAAUGGAGUCGUGCUCUCGGGGUCGUUCUUCCUGCGCCAACUGUAUUCGUCAGAGGGGCUCGUAAGGAGUCCUGACAAAUUUGACAUUUCCUUGGGUCACGUUCUGCCGUCGUGACGCUGGACGUCGCUGAGUAUAAGAAAGUAUUAAGAACAAGUAACGAUCUGCGUUAUCCCAGUGAUUCUCACAAUUCAUCCCCCGUGUACUCACGAGACUGAAUGUAGCGAAGCUACAAGACGGAAGCUUCAAGACGACAAAGCGUCCGCACGCUUCUUACUGAAUUAUGAAACGCCCUAAUCGACGAUGCCGACGUCGCCUGCUGCUGGUGCCGUUGAAUAAAGUAUGUAAAAAGAAGAACUGCCUACUCCUCUAUCCAUAAGGACUCGUGGGGUUAUUAAUAACAGCGUUGUUAGCCGGCCGUCGCGUUACUUGGUACAAAGUAAUUCCAGGCUCUUCACGUAAAUCGCCAGUGAGUCUAGGGCAUGGUGUACCUAUGGUGAUGAUGGUGCAUGCGUAUACGAGUAUGAGUGUUUGCGGAGCCAGGAACUCGAGAGGCUACAACGCCAAAGCUUUGCAAAGAGAGAGAGAGAGACACGUAUAGCGAAACACUAGAAGACCCUUUUUUCUGGACCCUUGAGUGCCCUGCUACCCCUGAUAUGGAAGUACUCCGCUUCAUCGGUGAACGAAUGCUAUGGGGGUUGGUCCAUGGGAUCCUUAAAAUAAUAGCUAGGCGCCCGUCGAUAGGGCUGUGUUUAUAAAACACUGCCUAACCGAAAGCCCUGGACUAAUUGUUCGAUAAUUUCCAUUGGCACUACCCAUGAGUCUGUAUGAGAGAACUUUGCACAUAUGCUCGCUUUCUACCAUUACUGAUUCUAUGGUUAUGUACUCU
This is a long non-coding RNA of Cephus cinctus (wheat stem sawfly), 2548 nucleotides long. RefSeq lists it as uncharacterized. NCBI's taxonomy places the organism in Eukaryota, Metazoa, Arthropoda, Insecta, Hymenoptera, Cephidae. The record is from RefSeq and is a predicted model, not a curated record. The transcript is spliced from 3 exons.